AUUGAACGCUGGCGGCAGGCCUAACACAUGCAAGUCGAGCGGAUGAAGGGAGCUUGCUCCUGGAUUCAGCGGCGGACGGGUGAGUAAUGCCUAGGAAUCUGCCUGGUAGUGGGGGAUAACGUCCGGAAACGGGCGCUAAUACCGCAUACGUCCUGAGGGAGAAAGUGGGGGAUCUUCGGACCUCACGCUAUCAGAUGAGCCUAGGUCGGAUUAGCUAGUUGGUGGGGUAAAGGCCUACCAAGGCGACGAUCCGUAACUGGUCUGAGAGGAUGAUCAGUCACACUGGAACUGAGACACGGUCCAGACUCCUACGGGAGGCAGCAGAGGGGAAUAUUGGACAAUGGGCGAAAGCCUGAUCCAGCCAUGCCGCGUGUGCGAAGAAGGUCUUCGGAUUGUAAAGCACUUUAAGUUGGGAGGAAGGGCAGUAAGUUAAUACCUUGCUGUUUUGACGUUACCAACAGAAUAAGCACCGGCUAACUUCGAG
Molecule: ribosomal RNA, 484 nt
Filed under: uncultured bacterium
Lineage: Bacteria
Description: partial 16S ribosomal RNA
Rfam family: Bacterial small subunit ribosomal RNA
Source: RNAcentral